CCUACGGGGGGCUGCAGUGGGGAAUAUUGCACAAUGGGGGAAACCCUGAUGCAGCGACGCCGCGUGAGUGAAGAAGUAUUUCGGUAUGUAAAGCUCUAUCAGCAGGGAAGAAAAUGACGGUACCUGAUUAAGAAGCCCCGUCUAACUACGUGCCAGCAGCCGCGGUAAUACGUAGGGGGCAAGCGUUAUCCGGAUUAACUGGGUGUAAAGGGAGCGUAGACGGCAGCGCAAGUCUGAAGUGAAAUGGCGGGGCUUAACCCCGGAGAUGCUUUGGAAACUGUGCAGCUAGAGUGCAGGAGAGGUAAGUGGAAUUCCUAGUGUAGCGGUGAAAUGCGUAGAUAUUAGG
This 346-nucleotide ribosomal RNA is filed under the name uncultured bacterium. RNAcentral's name for it is "partial 16S ribosomal RNA". It matches the Rfam family "Bacterial small subunit ribosomal RNA", at positions 338 to 701 of the family's 1533-position model. The record is from RNAcentral.